This 465-nucleotide ribosomal RNA is filed under the name uncultured bacterium. RNAcentral describes it as "bacterial SSU rRNA". It matches the Rfam family "Bacterial small subunit ribosomal RNA", at positions 331 to 794 of the family's 1533-position model. The record is from RNAcentral.
CCAGACUCCUACGGGAGGCAGCAGUGAGGAAUAUUGGUCAAUGGCCGCAGGGCUGAACCAGCCAAGUCGCGUGAGGGAUGACGGUCCUAUGGAUUGUAAACCUCUUUUGUCAGGGAGCAAAGGGGGCCACGUGUGGCGCUUUGCGAGUACCUGAAGAAAAAGUAUCGGCUAACUCCGUGCCAGCAGCCGCGGUAAUACGGAGGAUGCGAGCGUUAUCCGGAUUUAUUGGGUUUAAAGGGUGCGCAGGCGGAAUGUCAAGUCAGCGUUAAAACUUCGGGGUUCACCCCCGUCGUGCCGUUGAAACUGGCGAUCUUGAGUGAGCGAGAAGUGUGCGGAAUGCGUGGUGUAGCGGUGAAAUGCGUAGAGAUCUCGCGGAACACCGAUAGCGAAGGCGGCACACCGGCGCUCAACUGACGCUCAGGCGCGAAAGCGUGGGUAUCGAACAGGAUUAGAUACCCCGGUACA